UAGGUUGCAAUGUUGGGUUUCUGCUCGG
Molecule: non-coding RNA, 28 nt
Filed under: Mus musculus (house mouse)
Lineage: Eukaryota; Metazoa; Chordata; Mammalia; Rodentia; Muridae
Source: RNAcentral